UAGGUGCGACGCAGGGUAAUGUAAGUGCCUUUGGGAUGCCGCAUAGAACUUGACUUAGGGAUUUCGUGACUUUAGUCACAAUUUGUGAACAUAAAAAAAUGUCUUGCUUUUGAUUGUUUUGAUACGUGAUGAUUGUUUCUUUCAUUUGUAUGCAUCUAAUCAUCCAGAUUUCCUAGAUUAGGUUUAGAAUAGGAUCCUAAAAGUGGAGAAGAAGUGAAGAUGGUGGAGGUCGAUGUCCACUCCGACCGUUAUUCUGUAAUAUUCGUUUCUCUCCCGACAUAUGUCUCGGGUUCCAUGCAUUGUAUAACGCCCGACGAGUCGCGGGUUUCCUUUCUUUCUCGAUUAUUCUCUUUUAUAUUCUUUAGAAUUGCAUGAUUAGGUUUACUGCUUUCUCUUGAUUGUUUACUUCAUGUCUUGUG
This 419-nucleotide long non-coding RNA is filed under the name Eucalyptus grandis. Its description in RNAcentral is "long non-coding RNA (EGRA_LNC005375)". Lineage: Eukaryota; Viridiplantae; Streptophyta; Magnoliopsida; Myrtales; Myrtaceae. The record is from RNAcentral.